UGAGGAAUCUUGCGCAAUGGGCGAAAGCCUGACGCAGCGACGCCGCGUGGACGAUGAAGGCCUUCGGGUCGUAAAGUCCUGUCGGGUGGGAAGAACCGGUCCGCGGCUAAUAUCCGCGAACCCUGACUGUACCGGUGGAGGAAGCCCCGGCUAACUCCGUGCCAGCAGCCGCGGUAAUACGGGGGGGGCAAGCGUUGUCCGGAAUCAUUGGGCGUAAAGGGUGCGUAGGCGGAUAGGUCAGUCAGGGGUAAAAUCUUGUAGCUUAACUAUAAGUUGGCCUUUGAUACUGCUUAUCUUGAGUAUGAGAGAGGAAGGCGGAAUUCCCGGUGUAGCGGUGAAAUGCGUAGAUAUCGGGAAGAACACCAGUGGCGAAGGCGCCACUCUGGGCCGUAACUGACGCUGAGGAGCGAAAGCAUGGGUAGCAAACAGGAUUAGAUACCCUGGUAGUCCAUGCCGUAAACGUUGGGCACUAGGUGUGGGUCUCAACCAACGAGAUCCGCGCCGUCGCUAACGCAUUAAGUGCCCCGCCUGGGGAGUACGGUCGCAAGACUA
RNAcentral lists this ribosomal RNA (552 nucleotides) under uncultured bacterium. RNAcentral's name for it is "bacterial SSU rRNA". It matches the Rfam family "Bacterial small subunit ribosomal RNA", at positions 355 to 896 of the family's 1533-position model. The record is from RNAcentral.